UACGUAGGGCGCAAGCGUUGUCCGGAAUUAUUGGGCGUAAAGAGCUCGUAGGCGGUUCGUCGCGUCGGCUGUGAAAACCCGAGGCUCAACCUCGGGCCUGCAGUCGAUACGGGCGGACUGGAGUUCGGCAGGGGAGACUGGAAUUCCUGGUGUAGCGGUGAAAUGCGCAGAUAUCAGGAGGAACACCGGUGGCGAAGGCGGGUCUCUGGGCCGAUACUGACGCUGAGGAGCGAAAGCGUGGGGAGCGAACAGG
RNAcentral lists this ribosomal RNA (253 nucleotides) under uncultured bacterium. RNAcentral describes it as "partial 16S ribosomal RNA". It matches the Rfam family "Bacterial small subunit ribosomal RNA", at positions 524 to 776 of the family's 1533-position model. The record is from RNAcentral.